GGGCGGAGGGAGGCGUUUGAAGCUGAUGGAAGCCAGUGUCCAGUGCUCUUUGCCAAGUCCCGCUUCUCCCAAGCCAACUACGCGGUCACGGUGACCCCAGCGAGGCCUCCCAGCUCAGGCCUGGACCGUCCCCAGCUCCUGUCCACCCUUCCACUCCCCUCCCUCCUUGGACCCCGCCUGAGCAGACCCCCGCACUGCAGUGACCCACCGAGGGGCAGAACCUCCGCUGUGCAUCCCCGGAGGAGCCGCUGGCCCUCUCUGCGCUUCGGUACCACCUCAGCCUUCCUUACAGACUCGGAUGAGGUCACCGAAGCGCAGAGACGUGAACCAACUUGCCCGGAGACACCCAGCUGACAGGUGGCGGGGCCGGGAUCAGAACCCACGACCGCUGACUCCUAAACCCGUGCUCUUUCCCCUGAGUCAAGAUGCUUCUCGCUGAGAUGAGGUAACUGAGGCACAGAGAAGUGAAGUGACUCGCCC
Long non-coding RNA from Ornithorhynchus anatinus (platypus), 480 nucleotides. RefSeq lists it as uncharacterized. The transcript is spliced from 3 exons. The record is from RefSeq and is a predicted model, not a curated record. NCBI's taxonomy places the organism in Eukaryota, Metazoa, Chordata, Mammalia, Monotremata, Ornithorhynchidae.